UACAGAGGGUGCGAGCGUUAAUCGGAUUUACUGGGCGUAAAGGGUGCGUAGGUGGUAAAGCAAGUAAGAUGUGAAAGCCCUGGGCUUAACCUGGGAAGUGCAUCUUAAACUGCUUAACUAGAGUAUGGUAGAGGGUAGUGGAAUUUCCGGUGUAGCGGUGAAAUGCGUAGAGAUCGGAAGGAACGCCAGUGGUGAAGACGACUACCUGGACCAAUACUGACACUGAGGUACGAAAGCGUGGGGAUCAAACAGG
RNAcentral lists this ribosomal RNA (253 nucleotides) under uncultured bacterium. RNAcentral describes it as "partial 16S ribosomal RNA". It matches the Rfam family "Bacterial small subunit ribosomal RNA", at positions 524 to 776 of the family's 1533-position model. The record is from RNAcentral.